RNAcentral lists this ribosomal RNA (522 nucleotides) under uncultured bacterium. RNAcentral describes it as "bacterial SSU rRNA". It matches the Rfam family "Bacterial small subunit ribosomal RNA", at positions 353 to 893 of the family's 1533-position model. The record is from RNAcentral.
AGUGGGGAAUCUUAGACAAUGGGGGCAACCCUGAUCUAGCCAUGCCGCGUGAGUGACGAAGGCCCUAGGGUCGUAAAGCUCUUUCGCCAGGGAUGAUAAUGACAGUACCUGGUAAAGAAACCCCGGCUAACUCCGUGCCAGCAGCCGCGGUAAUACGGAGGGGGUUAGCGUUGUUCGGAAUUACUGGGCGUAAAGCGCGCGUAGGCGGGCUGUUAAGUCGGGGGUGAAAUCCCGGGGCUCAACCCCGGAACUGCCCUCGAUACUGGCAGCCUAGAGUUCGAGAGAGGUGAGUGGAAUUCCGAGUGUAGAGGUGAAAUUCGUAGAUAUUCGGAGGAACACCAGUGGCGAAGGCGGCUCACUGGCUCGAUACUGACGCUGAGGUGCGAAAGCGUGGGGAGCAAACAGGAUUAGAUACCUUGGUAGUCCACGCCGUAAACGAUGAAUGCCAGACGUCAGGUUGCUUGCAACUUGGUGUCACACCUAACGGAUUAAGCAUUCCGCCUGGGGAGUACGGCCGCAAGG